Molecule: ribosomal RNA, 478 nt
Filed under: uncultured bacterium
Lineage: Bacteria
Description: partial 16S ribosomal RNA
Rfam family: Bacterial small subunit ribosomal RNA
Source: RNAcentral
ACGAACGCUGGCGGCGUGCUUAACACAUGCAAGUCGAACGAAGCUUGAUUACGGAUUCUUCGGAUGAAGUAUGAUAUGACUGAGUGGCGGACGGGUGAGUAACGCGUGAGUAACCUGCCCUUCAGAGGGGGAUAGCGUUUGGAAACGAACGGUAAUACCGCAUAAUGUAUUUUGACCGCAUGAUCGAAAUACCAAAGAUUUAUCGCUGAAGGAUGGACUCGCGUCUGAUUAGGUAGUUGGUGGGGUAACGGCCUACCAAGCCGACGAUCAGUAGCCGGACUGAGAGGUUGAUCGGCCACAUUGGGACUGAGACACGGCCCAGACUCCUACGGGAGACAGCAGUGGGGAAUAUUGCACAAUGGGCGCAAGCCUGAUGCAGCAACGCCGCGUGAAGGAAGACGGUUUUCGGAUUGUAAACUUCUGUUCUUAGUGAAGAAUAAUGACGGUAGCUAAGGAGCAAGCCACGGCUAACUACGUG